RNAcentral lists this ribosomal RNA (484 nucleotides) under uncultured bacterium. RNAcentral describes it as "partial 16S ribosomal RNA". It matches the Rfam family "Bacterial small subunit ribosomal RNA", at positions 30 to 507 of the family's 1533-position model. The record is from RNAcentral.
AUUGAACGCUGGCGGCAGGCCUAACACAUGCAAGUCGAGCGGAUGAAGGGAGCUUGCUCCUGGAUUCAGCGGCGGACGGGUGAGUAAUGCCUAGGAAUCUGCCUGGUAGUGGGGGAUAACGUCCGGAAACGGGCGCUAAUACCGCAUACGUCCUGAGGGAGAAAGUGGGGGAUCUUCGGAGCUAACGCUAUCAGAUGAGCCUAGGUCGGAUUAGCUAGUUGGUGGGGUAAAGGCCUACCAAGGCGACGAUCCGUAACUGGUCUGAGAGGAUGAUCAGUCACACUGGAACUGAGACACGGUCCAGACUCCUACGGGAGGCAGCAGUGGGGAAUAUUGGACAAUGGGCGAAAGCCUGAUCCAGCCAUGCCGCGUGUGUGAAGAAGGUCUUCGGAUUGUAAAGCACUUUAAGUUGGGAGGAAGGGCAGUAAGUUAAUACCUUGCUGUUUUGACGGUACCAACAGAAUAAGCACCGGCUAACUUCGUG